RNAcentral lists this long non-coding RNA (612 nucleotides) under Apteryx rowi (Okarito brown kiwi). RNAcentral describes it as "lncRNA (ENSARWG00000004128.1)". Lineage: Eukaryota; Metazoa; Chordata; Aves; Apterygiformes; Apterygidae. The record is from RNAcentral.
UGAAGAAGAGAAGGAGCUGAAGAAGAAAACAGUCAGUCCAAUGGAGGACAACAAUUCUUCCCUAAAAAGUGAUGCUGAGAAGAAGUCCUUGGCACAAUGCAGCUGGAUCAGCACAGGCACAAAUGGCUUUGGCUGUGUCUGUAACUCAGAGGUCUGUGUCACGUUCUCUGGAAAGAGGGAGAUGAUUUGAAAGGCUGAGCUAGUGUGAUGCUCCCUCCAGAAAGGAUCCUGAAGAAUGACAGGAAAGGAGCAGCUGAAAGCCAUGCUUUUCAGGUCACCUUGAGAGGCCUUGUCCAAGGAGACUCACUGAAGAGAGCAGACCUGACACAAGGCACCAGAGAGCACACCACUGUUGCACUCUUCACUGCAGCUGCCUUAAUAGGAAGGCUAAAUCCAUUGUGUCAUGGCGCCAGAAUAUUUAUAGAUGGUGAAAACAUUCAGAUAAAUGUCAUGUUAACAAAUGCAUGAAUAAACAUCUCUCUGUUACUGUUUUCUUGAUAUCUUUACUACAGACAAUACAGAAUUCUGCUUUGGCUAGAACUAGAUAGCAGAAAUACUGUAAUUCUGUGAAUCCUUAUGUAACAUGAGGUAUAUGCUAUUUUAAAACUUCUU